AACGUAGGAGACAACCGUUAUCCGGAGUUACUGGGCGUAAAGGGCGUGUAGGUGGUUGUGUAAGUUCGGCGUGAAAUCUCUCGGCUUAACCGGGAGUGGUCGUCGGAUACUGCACGACUAGAGGACGGUAGAGGCGUGUGGAAUUCCGGGUGUAGUGGUGAAAUGCGCAGAGAUCAGGAGGAACACCCGUAGCGAAGGCGGCACUCUGGGCCGAUACUGACACUGAGGAGCGAAAGCGUGGGGAGCGAACAGG
Molecule: ribosomal RNA, 253 nt
Filed under: uncultured bacterium
Lineage: Bacteria
Description: partial 16S ribosomal RNA
Rfam family: Bacterial small subunit ribosomal RNA
Source: RNAcentral